AUACGGAGGGUGCGAGCGUUGUUCGGAAUCACUGGGCGUAAAGGGCGCGCAGGCGUGCUGUCAAGUCAGAUGUGAAAGCCCACGGCUCAACCGUGGACGUGCAUCUGAAACUGGCAGACUCGAGUACCGGAGGGGAAAGUGGAAUUCCCGGUGUAGAGGUGAAAUUCGUAGAUAUCGGGAGGAAUACCGGAGGCGAAGGCGACUUUCUGGACGGAUACUGACGCUGCGGCGCGAAAGCGUGGGGAGCGAACAGGAUUAGAAACCCUAGUAGUCC
RNAcentral lists this ribosomal RNA (274 nucleotides) under uncultured bacterium. RNAcentral's name for it is "partial 16S ribosomal RNA". It matches the Rfam family "Bacterial small subunit ribosomal RNA", at positions 523 to 796 of the family's 1533-position model. The record is from RNAcentral.